Molecule: non-coding RNA, 149 nt
Organism: Caenorhabditis elegans
Lineage: Eukaryota; Metazoa; Nematoda; Chromadorea; Rhabditida; Rhabditidae
Source: Ensembl
UUUACAUAGUUCGACGAAAGGUGAAAGUGCAUUCUGGUAAGGAUUGAGGGAUAUAGUACAAGCCGCUCGAUGCACCUCCUUCGCGCUGGCGUCUCACACAGCGGUUUAGACCGGUUUCGCGUGAGUGUGUGUGUGUGUGUGUGUGUGUU